RNAcentral lists this ribosomal RNA (468 nucleotides) under uncultured bacterium. RNAcentral's name for it is "partial 16S ribosomal RNA". It matches the Rfam family "Bacterial small subunit ribosomal RNA", at positions 28 to 507 of the family's 1533-position model. The record is from RNAcentral.
GAUGAACGCUGGCGGCGUGCUUAACACAUGCAAGUCGAACGGAAAGGCCAGUGCUUGCACUGGUACUCGAGUGGCGAACGGGUGAGUAACACGUGGGUGAUCUGCCCUGCACUUCGGGAUAAGCCUGGGAAACUGGGUCUAAUACCGGAUAGGACAAUGGUUUGGAUGCCGUUGUGGAAAGUUUUUUCGGUGUGGGAUGAGCUCGCGGCCUAUCAGCUUGUUGGUGGGGUAAUGGCCUACCAAGGCGUCGACGGGUAGCCGGCCUGAGAGGGUGUACGGCCACAUUGGGACUGAGAUACGGCCCAGACUCCUACGGGAUGCAGCAGUGGGGAAUAUUGCACAAUGGGCGCAAGCCUGAUGCAGCGACGCCGCGUGGGGGAUGACGGCCUUCGGGUUGUAAACUCCUUUCGCUAGGGACGAAGCGUAUUUGUGACGGUACCUGGAGAAGAAGCACCGGCUAACUACGUG